RNAcentral lists this transfer RNA (73 nucleotides) under Zingiber officinale. It matches the Rfam family "tRNA". Rfam says of the family: Transfer RNA (tRNA) molecules are approximately 80 nucleotides in length. Their secondary structure includes four short double-helical elements and three loops (D, anti-codon, and T loops). Lineage: Eukaryota; Viridiplantae; Streptophyta; Magnoliopsida; Zingiberales; Zingiberaceae. The record is from Rfam by way of RNAcentral.
GGUGUCGUGGUGUAGUUGGUUAUCAUGUUAGUCUAACACACUAAGGUCUCUUGUUCGAGUAUGGGCAACGCCA